CGGAACGUACCUUUCAGUGGGGGAUAACGUGGCGAAAGUUACGCUAAUACCGCAUAUUCUGUGAGCAGGAAAGCAGGGGAUCGCAAGACCUUGCGCUGAUUGAGCGGCCGAUAUCAGAUUAGCUAGUUGGUGAGGUAAAGGCUCACCAAGGCGACGAUCUGUAGCGGGUCUGAGAGGAUGAUCCGCCACACUGGAACUGAGACACGGUCCAGACUCCUACGGGAGGCAGCAGUGGGGAAUUUUGGACAAUGGGGGCAACCCUGAUCCAGCCAUGCCGCGUGAGUGAAGAAGGCCUUCGGGUUGUAAAGCUCUUUCGGCCGGGAAGAAAUCGUAUGGGUUAUUACCCUGUGCGGAUGACGGUACCGGCAUAAGAAGCACCGGCUAACUACGUGCCAGCAGCCGCGGUAAUACGUAGGGUGCGAGCGUUAAUCGGAAUUACUGGGCGUAAAGCGUGCGCAGGCGGUUUUGUAAGACAGGCGUGAGAUCCCCGGGCUCAACCUGGGAACUGCGCUUGUGACUGCAAGGCUAGAGUAUGGCAGAGGGGGGUGGAAUUCCACGUGUAGCAGUGAAAUGCGUAGAGAUGUGGAGGAACACCAAUGGCGAAGGCAGCCCCCUGGGCCAAUACUGACGCUCAUGCACGAAAGCGUGGGUAGCAAACAGGAUUAGAUACCCUGGUAGUCCACGCCCUAAACGAUGUCAACUAGGUGUUGGGUGGGUAAAACCAUUUAGUACCGGAGCUAACGCGUGAAGUUGACCGCCUGGGGAGUACGGCCGCAAGGUUAAAACUCAAAGGAAUUGACGGGGACCCGCACAAGCGGUGGAUGAUGUGGAUUAAUUCGAUGCAACGCGAAAAACCUUACCUACCCUUGACAUGUCCAGGAGCCUGAAGAGAUUUGGGUGUGCCCGAAAGGGAACUGGAACACAGGUGCUGCAUGGCUGUCGUCAGCUCGUGUCGUGAGAUGUUGGGUUAAGUCCCGCAACGAGCGCAACCCUUGUCGUUAAUUGCCAUCAUUUAGUUGGGCACUUUAACGAGACUGCCGGUGACAAACCGGAGGAAGGUGGGGAUGACGUCAAGUCCUCAUGGCCCUUAUGGGUAGGGCUUCACACGUCAUACAAUGGUCGGUACAAAGGGUUGCCAACCCGCGAGGGGGAGCCAAUCCCAGAAAGCCGAUCGUAGUCCGGAUCGCAGGCUGCAACUCGCCUGCGUGAAGUCGGAAUCGCUAGUAAUCGUGGAUCAGCAUGUCACGGUGAAUACGUUCCCGGGUCUUGUACACACCGCCCGUCACACCAUGGGAGCGGGUUCCGCCAGAAGUAGGUAGCCUAACCGCAAGGGGGGCGCUUACCA
This 1345-nucleotide ribosomal RNA is filed under the name metagenome. Its description in RNAcentral is "bacterial SSU rRNA". It matches the Rfam family "Bacterial small subunit ribosomal RNA", at positions 119 to 1459 of the family's 1533-position model. The record is from RNAcentral.